GAGUUUGAUCAUGGCUCAGAACGUACGCUGGCGGCACGCCUAACACAUGCAAGUCGAACGAAGUAGCAAUACUUAGUGGCAGACGGGUGAGUAACAUGUGGGUAUCUGCCCUUUGGCCUGGAAUAACACGAGGAAACUUGUGCUAAUACCAGAUAAGUCUUUACGGAGAAAGCUUUAUGCACCAUUGGAUGAGCCCGCACUUGAUUAGUUUGUUGGUGGGGUAAUGGCCUACCAAGACUUUGAUCAAUAGCUGAUUUGAGAGGAUGAUCAGCCACAUUGGGACUGAGACACGGCCCAAACUCCUACGGGAGGCAGCAGUGGGGAAUCUUGCACAAUGGAGGAAACUCUGAUGCAGCGAUGCCGCGUGAGUGAAGAAGGCCCUUGGGUUGUAAAGCUCUUUCGUCGGGGAAGAAAAUGACUGUACCCGAAUAAGAAGGUCCGGCUAACUUCGUGCCAGCAGCCGCGGUAAUACGAAGGGACCUAGCGUAGUUCGGAAUUACUGGGCUUAAAGAGUUCGUAGGUGGUUGAAAAAGUUGGUGGUGAAAUCCCAGAGCUUAACUCUGGAACUGCCAUCAAAACUUUUCAGCUAGAGUUUGAUAGAGGAAAGCAGAAUUUCUAGUGUAGAGGUGAAAUUCGUAGAUAUUAGAAAGAAUACCAAUUGCGAAGGCAGCUUUCUGGAUCAUUACUGACACUGAGGAACGAAAGCAUGGGUAGCGAAGAGGAUUAGAUACCCUCGUAGUCCAUGCCGUAAACGAUGUGUGUUAGACGUU
Molecule: ribosomal RNA, 770 nt
Filed under: uncultured bacterium
Lineage: Bacteria
Description: bacterial SSU rRNA
Rfam family: Bacterial small subunit ribosomal RNA
Source: RNAcentral